AAUAGUUAUCUUUGUCUUGUUCCUGGCAGAUGGCAUGAUUCUAUUUAUGCCUUGGAAUCGGGUGAAAGUCCCGGACAGUGCUCGCUGCCGUAACCCCAAUUUGAUAAACUGGGUUUCUUGCCACUGGAAUGGUGAUUCUGGGAAGGUUUGAACGCAUAAGCCAGAGGGGAAGUCGGAAUACGGUGACAGGAACGAUGGCUUUUA
This 204-nucleotide non-coding RNA is filed under the name Prevotella sp. The record is from RNAcentral. Lineage: Bacteria; Pseudomonadati; Bacteroidota; Bacteroidia; Bacteroidales; Prevotellaceae.